AGUGAACGCUGGCGGUAGGCCUAACACAUGCCAGUCGAACGGCAGCACAGUAAGAGCUUGCUCUUACGGGUGGCGAGUGGCGGACGGGUGAGGAAUACAUCGGAAUCUACUUUUUCGUGGGGGAUAACGUAGGGAAACUUACGCUAAUACCGCAUACGACCUACGGGUGAAAGCAGGGGAUCUUCGGACCUUGCGCGAUUGAAUGAGCCGAUGUCGGAUUAGCUAGUUGGCGGGGUAAAGGCCCACCAAGGCGACGAUCCGUAGCUGGUCUGAGAGGAUGAUCAGCCACACUGGAACUGAGACACGGUCCAGACUCCUACGGGAGGCAGCAGUGGGGAAUAUUGGACAAUGGGCGCAAGCCUGAUCCAGCCAUACCGCGUGGGUGAAGAAGGCCUUCGGGUUGUAAAGCCCUUUUGUUGGGAAAGAAAAGCAGCAGGUUAAUACCCCGCUGUUCUGACGGUACCCAAAGAAUAAGCACCGGCUAACUGCGU
This 491-nucleotide ribosomal RNA is filed under the name uncultured bacterium. RNAcentral's name for it is "partial 16S ribosomal RNA". It matches the Rfam family "Bacterial small subunit ribosomal RNA", at positions 29 to 506 of the family's 1533-position model. The record is from RNAcentral.